RNAcentral lists this ribosomal RNA (1254 nucleotides) under Triticum aestivum (bread wheat). RNAcentral's name for it is "partial small subunit ribosomal RNA". The record is from RNAcentral. Lineage: Eukaryota; Viridiplantae; Streptophyta; Magnoliopsida; Poales; Poaceae.
AUUUUUGUGGAAUUGUCUCUUCAGGUUGGUCAGAUGGCAAGCAUACUAGAUUAUCUUGUUAAAUCAUGUGCCAAGAAGUUGGAAGCUAUCAUUACAGAUGAGGCAGUUCUGAUUCUAGGAGUACAAGAAGACCUCAAACAAAUGCAGCGAACAAUGACCCAGAUACAAUGCUUUCUUGAUGAUGCCGAACAAAGGGGAACACGAGAGUCAGCAGUUAAUAACUGGCUUGGUGAGCUGAGAGGUGAUAUGUAUUAUGCCGACGAUAUUGUCGACUUAGCGAGAUCUGAAGGUGGGAAGCUUCUACUAGAACGGGAUCCUUCAUCAUCAUCAAGAAAGGCAACUAGUACAUGCAGUGGCCUUCCGUUUCUCAAUUGCAUCUCUCCUAUUCAGAAGCGUCACAAGAUUGGUGUUCAAAUCCGGGACUUCAAUGCUCAACUUGACAAGAUUUCAAAGUUGGGUGAAAGAUUUCUCAAGCUUGAAAAUAUGCAGCCUAAACCACAAGCUCUGACUGUGAAGCAUGUAAGAACUAGCCACCUUGUGGAGCCUAAUCUUGUGGGAAAGGAAACUUUACAUGCUUGCAAAAGUUUGGUUGAACUGGUUCUUGCACACAAGGGAAAGAAGCCAUACAAGGUUGGUAUUGUUGGAACAGGAGGGAUUGGGAAGACAACUCUAGCCCAAAAAGUAUAUAAUGACCGAGAAUUAAAAGGAACCUUUAGCAACCAAGCAUGGAUAUGUGUUUCUCAGGAGUACUCUGAAAUAUCUCUUUUGAAGGAAGUUCUGCGGAAUUUUGGGGUACCCCAUGAGCAAGAUGAAACUGUGGGAGAGCUCAGCAGCAAGCUUGCAGUCGCCAUCACAGAUAAAAGUUUCUUCAUUGUGUUGGACGAUGUUUGGCAGCCUGCGGUCUGGACCAAUUUACUGAGAACUCCAUUACAUGCUGCUGCAAGAGGAGUAAUUCUAGUGACCACUCGGCAUGAUACAGUUGCACAUGCAAUUGGCGUAGAAGAUGUACAUCGAGUUGAAUUGAUGUCAGCAGAUAUAGGGUGGGAGCUGCUUUGGAAGAGUAUGAACAUUGAUGAAGAAAGAGAUGUGGAAAACCUUCGGAAUAUAGGGGUAGAAAUUGUCCAUAAAUGUGGUGGACUUCCUCUCGCAAUCAAGGUUACUGCUAGUGUUCUAGCAACUAAAGAGAAAAGUGAGAGGGAAUGGAGAAAGGUUGCAAAAAGAAGUGCUUGGUCUAGGGGUAAUCUCCAAACUUGA